UGGUGGGUAGUUUGACUGGGGCGGUCUCCUCCUAAAGAGUAACGGAGGAGCACGAAGGUUGGCUAAUCCUGGUCGGACAUCAGGAGGUUAGUGCAAUGGCAUAAGCCAGCUUGACUGCGAGCGUGACGGCGCGAGCAGGUGCGAAAGCAGGUCAUAGUGAUCCGGUGGUUCUGAAUGGAAGGGCCAUCGCUCAACGGAUAAAAGGUACUCCGGGGAUAACAGGCUGAUACCGCCCAAGAGUUCAUAUCGACGGCGGUGUUUGGCACCUCGAUGUCGGCUCAUCACAUCCUGGGGCUGAAGUAGGUCCCAAGGGUAUGGCUGUUCGCCAUUUAAAGUGGUACGCGAGCUGGGUUUAGAACGUCGUGAGACAGUUCGGUCCCUAUCUGCCGUGGGCGCUGGAGAACUGAGGGGGGCUGCUCCUAGUACGAGAGGACCGGAGUGGACGCAUCACU
This 452-nucleotide ribosomal RNA is filed under the name Escherichia coli. RNAcentral's name for it is "partial 23S ribosomal RNA". It matches the Rfam family "Bacterial large subunit ribosomal RNA", at positions 2259 to 2710 of the family's 2925-position model. The record is from RNAcentral. RNAcentral also lists the same sequence under 1 other name. Lineage: Bacteria; Pseudomonadati; Pseudomonadota; Gammaproteobacteria; Enterobacterales; Enterobacteriaceae.